GGGUUGUGAGGUUAAGCGACUAAGCGUACACGGUGGAUGCCCUGGCAGUCAGAGGCGAUGAAGGGCGUACUAAUCUGCGAUAAGCGCCGGUAAGGUGAUAUGAACCGUUAUAACCGGCGAUACCCGAAUGGGGAAACCCAGUGUGAUUCGUCACACUAUCAUUAACUGAAUCCAUAGGUUAAUGAGGCGAACCGGGGGAACUGAAACAUCUAAGUACCCCGAGGAAAAGAAAUCAACCGAGAUUCCCCCAGUAGCGGCGAGCGAACGGGGAGGAGCCCAGAGCCUGAAUCAGCAUGUGUGUUAGUGGAAGCGUCUGGAAAGGCGCGCGAUACAGGGUGACAGCCCCGUACACAAAAGCGCAUGUGCUGUGAGCUCGAUGAGUAGGGCGGGACACGUGGUAUCCUGUCUGAAUAUGGGGGGACCAUCCUCCAAGGCUAAAUACUCCUGACUGACCGAUAGUGAACCAGUACCGUGAGGGAAAGGCGAAAAGAACCCCGGCGAGGGGAGUGAAAAAGAACCUGAAACCGUGUACGUACAAGCAGUGGGAGCACCCUUUGGGUGUGACUGCGUACCUUUUGUAUAAUGGGUCAGCGACUUAUAUUCUGUAGCAAGG
RNAcentral lists this ribosomal RNA (613 nucleotides) under Salmonella enterica subsp. enterica serovar Enteritidis. RNAcentral's name for it is "partial 23S ribosomal RNA". It matches the Rfam family "Bacterial large subunit ribosomal RNA", at positions 1 to 645 of the family's 2925-position model. The record is from RNAcentral. Lineage: Bacteria; Pseudomonadati; Pseudomonadota; Gammaproteobacteria; Enterobacterales; Enterobacteriaceae.